UACGGAGGGUGCAAACGUUGCUCGGAAUCAUUGGGCGUAAAGCGCACGUAGGUGGCUUGUUAAGUCGGGUGUGAAAUCCCUGGGCUCAACCCAGGAAGUGCACUCGAAACUGGCGAGCUUGAGUACUGAAGAGGGUCGCGGAAUUCCCGGUGUAGAGGUGAAAUUCGUAGAUAUCGGGAGGAACACCAGUGGCGAAGGCGGCGACCUGGGCAGAUACUGACGCUGAGGAGCGAAAGCGUGGGGAGCGAACAGG
This 253-nucleotide ribosomal RNA is filed under the name uncultured bacterium. RNAcentral describes it as "partial 16S ribosomal RNA". It matches the Rfam family "Bacterial small subunit ribosomal RNA", at positions 524 to 776 of the family's 1533-position model. The record is from RNAcentral.